This 496-nucleotide ribosomal RNA is filed under the name uncultured bacterium. RNAcentral describes it as "partial 16S ribosomal RNA". It matches the Rfam family "Bacterial small subunit ribosomal RNA", at positions 29 to 507 of the family's 1533-position model. The record is from RNAcentral.
ACGAACGCUGGCGGCGUGCCUAAUACAUGCAAGUUGAGCGCUGAAGGUUGGUACUUGUACCAACUGGAUGAGCAGCGAACGGGUGAGUAACGCGUGGGGAAUCUGCCUUUGAGCGGGGGACAACAUUUGGAAACGAAUGCUAAUACCGCAUAAAAACUUUAAACACAAGUUUUAAGUUUGAAAGAUGCAAUUGCAUCACUCAAAGAUGAUCCCGCGUUGUAUUAGCUAGUUGGUGAGGUAAAGGCUCACCAAGGCGAUGAUACAUAGCCGGCCUGAGAGGGUGAUCGGCCACAUUGGGACUGAGACACGGCCCAAACUCCUACGGGAGGCAGCAGUAGGGAAUCUUCGGCAAUGGACGAAAGUCUGACCGAGCAACGCCGCGUGAGUGAAGAAGGUUUUCGGAUCGUAAAACUCUGUUGGUAGAGAAGAACGUUGGUGAGAGUGGAAAGCUCAUCAAGUGACGGUAACUACCCAGAAAGGGACGGCUAACUACGUG